GAGAUCUCUACAACGUGCCAAUAUACGGACGAUGAGAUCCAGCCUGUAGCAAAGGCUGGCUCCUCUAAGGCGGGCGAUGUAUGAAUAGGAGACUCACAGGCAGUCCCGUCCUUGCAAUAUUCAGGUUUAGUUUUCAACAGCAGGAAAUGAAUGAGAAUGAUCUCGCUCUUCAGUCCACUCUGUCAAAGUCCGUGUGAAGGUCAGGAACGAGAAGUAGCCCCCUUGCUGGCUGGAUAUGCCAUAUAAACCUAGAGCGUCUUUCGAUGCCUGAGCCCGCAUUUAAACGCAUUUAAACCACUCUAAAGUCGCCUGCUGGGCAGGUCUCAGCCACACCCCUCUGCAGGGUCCCACCAGUUGCCUGUAACCUUCCGGGCCCUCCAGGCCUCUGUCUGUCCUUCGCAAUGCAGUCAGGGUGAUGUUUCUAACGUGAAACCUGAAUGGCGCCGCAUUUAUGCCUUCACAUAGCAGAUUUGGGUCCACGUUGCCCCCUGGAGCACAAGCUGUCUGAAAUUGCUUCUGGUCCAUGCACGCACCGUGCGCCCCUGGUGCAGGCACCCGCUGUCCCCAACACACUGCACUAUUUCUCACUUCGUUCCCACGAGACUUCCUCACCCUUCAAGACUUGCACCAGAAGCUCCGUGGACCAUCUUUGAGAUGAAUAUCAGCCCUGUGGACCCAGAGGGACUUCUAUGCUUAGUUACAGAUCUUUCUAGAGGUUGUCCGGAGGACAGGAGCAAUUCUCCCCUGGAGUCCAAGCGAUUCUUGUCUGUAAGGAUGGGCGCUUUCGCUAUCACGUGUGUAGGUGCCAAUCACAGGGCACGAAUCACACCAGAUACCCAUGAAAAGACAAUUCUUUAAAGGAAUAAAAGUCACCGGGAGAGAGAGACAUGGGCCUCCAGUGGCUUUCGCGGCUGUGUUUGAUCUUUCUUUCUUACCAGCAGGUGGCGCGCCAGCCCCACGUUUUAACUCUCCAGCUUUGCGGUUUUGCUGUAAAGGCACUAAUUCGGCUGUUAAGGGAGGAGAUGAUAAUUUACGCACUGUUUACAGAAUAAAGCUGAUUUA
Molecule: long non-coding RNA, 1062 nt
Organism: Mesocricetus auratus (golden hamster)
Lineage: Eukaryota; Metazoa; Chordata; Mammalia; Rodentia; Cricetidae
Exons: 3
Source: RefSeq, a predicted model, not a curated record